This 407-nucleotide ribosomal RNA is filed under the name uncultured bacterium. RNAcentral describes it as "partial 16S ribosomal RNA". It matches the Rfam family "Bacterial small subunit ribosomal RNA", at positions 30 to 526 of the family's 1533-position model. The record is from RNAcentral.
AUUGAACGCUGGCGGCAGGCCUAACACAUGCAAGUCGAGCGGAGCGGGGGACGGGUGAGUAAGGCCUAGGAAUGUGCCUGGUCGUGGGGGAUGACGUCCGGAAACGGGCGCUAAUACCGCAUCCUAUCAGAUGAGCCUAGGGUGGAUUAGCUAGUUGGUGGGGUAAAGGCCUACCAAGGCGACGAUCCGUACCUGGUCUGAGAGGAGGAUCAGUCACACUGGAACGGAGACACGGUCCAGACUCCUACGGGAGGCAGCAGUGGGGAAUAUUGGACAAUGGGCGAAAGCCUGAUCCAGCCAUGCCGCGUGUGUGAAGAAGGUCUUCGGAUUGUAAAGCACUUUAAGUUGGGAGGCGUUACCAACAGAAUAAGCACCGGCUAACUCCGUGCCAGCAGCCGCGGUAAUAC